GAUUGCUCAGUUGGUUAGAGUGUGGUGUUGAUAACACCAAGGUUGCAGGUUUGAUCCCCAUAUGGGACA
RNAcentral lists this transfer RNA (69 nucleotides) under Podarcis lilfordi (Lilford's wall lizard). RNAcentral describes it as "tRNA.Ile". Lineage: Eukaryota; Metazoa; Chordata; Lepidosauria; Squamata; Lacertidae. The record is from RNAcentral.